CUACUUGUAAUUUUUGAGAGAGGCUUUUUUUAAAAUAAGUGCAUUCCUUGUCUGUUCUAUUUCUUGAGCACGUGGGAAACUCGAUAAAAUGGAAAUCGUUACUGUUUAUAAAUCAGCGCAGUUACAGGGUCUGUCUCGGGGCUAUCCCUCUUUGGAAGGAUGGAGGAAAACAACUUUUUUUGCAAUUACUUGGUAUUUUGGCUGAUGAAUCUGAGGCAAGAGGAGAGAUUUCCCAUUUUGAGGGGAAAGAGCUGGCCAAGACAAGCCCUCGACAUUCCUUUCUUGUCUUGCUAGAAAAUCUACAUUUCAAGAUUGCCUUGAAGAAAUGGAAAACCCGCUGGCUAAAGGGUUUCAUCAGCUCGGUAUCACUGAGCAGUAAGGUUGCUUUCAGUCUGCUCUACUCAACUCUCUGUGCCACCACAUCAGUUGCCCUUUGACCCACAGAAAUUGGCAGUUUCAUCUCUUUAACUUUCACCCCCAGCUUUCAGUUAUGAGAAAAAAAUAAUGAAUAGAUAACAACCCGCCUGACUAAUAAAGCUUCUAUAUUGAUGUGAAACACCUGUA
Long non-coding RNA from Lepisosteus oculatus (spotted gar), 564 nucleotides. RefSeq lists it as uncharacterized. The record is from RefSeq and is a predicted model, not a curated record. Lineage: Eukaryota; Metazoa; Chordata; Actinopteri; Semionotiformes; Lepisosteidae.